RNAcentral lists this non-coding RNA (1501 nucleotides) under Poecilia formosa (Amazon molly). Its description in RNAcentral is "Eukaryotic large subunit ribosomal RNA". It matches the Rfam family "Eukaryotic large subunit ribosomal RNA", at positions 107 to 1970 of the family's 3401-position model. Lineage: Eukaryota; Metazoa; Chordata; Actinopteri; Cyprinodontiformes; Poeciliidae. The record is from Rfam by way of RNAcentral.
GCCCCUCCACUCCGCUUGGCUUCCUCCCCCUCGUCCGACUGGCGUGCGGAAGACCGCUUGCUCGGUGUGUCUAGGGGGCCUGAUUCCUCCUGAUCGAGGCUCAUCCCGUGGACAGUGUGAGGCCGGUAAUAGCCCCCUUCGCGCCAGGUUCUGGUCUUCUCAGAGGCGGGUUGUUUGGGAAUGCAGCCCAAAGCGGGUGGUAAACUCCAUCUAAGGCUAAAUACCGGCACGAGACCGAUAGUCGACAAGUACCUUAAGGGAAAGUUGAAAAUAACUUUGAAGAGAGUUCAAGAGGGCGUGAAACCAUUAAGAGGUAAAUGGGUGGGGUCCGCACUGUCCGCCCGGGGGAUUCAACCCGGCGGGGUAAGGCACGCCGGCUCGAUGCGGGAGGAUCCCCUUGCGGGACCUCUCCCCGGCUCGUCGGCUGGCCCCCGCCGGGCGCAUUUCCUCUGCGGCGGUGCGCCGCGACUGGCUCCAUACCAGCCAGGAAGGGACCAGGGGCGUGGAACUUAGUGUUCACUGCGCCUCUCUCCCCCCCUCUCUGGAGGGGGAGAGGGACAUGGCCCCCUCGCCCCCGGCGCAGCUGUCGACUGGGGCGGACUGUCCUAAGUGCGCCCCAACCGCACCGCACCGCCAGGGAGGGGACUGGCCCAUGUCAAAUGCGCAAGGGGUCUGCGGCGAUGUCGGCUACCCACCUGACCCGUCUUGAAACACGAACCAAGGAGUCUAACACGCAUGAAAGUCAGAGUCGGAAUCCGCUAAGGAGUGUGUAACAACUCACCUGUCAAAUCAACUAGCCCUGAAAAUGGAUGGCGCUGGAGCGUCGGGCCUAUACCCGGCCACCGCCGGCAACAAGAACCGCGAGGGCUAGGCCACGGUGAGUAGGAGGGCUGCCGCGGUGAGCACAGAAACCUGGGGCGCGAGCCCAGGUGGAGCCGCCGCAGGUGGCGAUCUUGGUGGUAGUAGGAAAUAUUCAAACGAGAGCUUUGAAGGCCGAAGUGGAGAAGGAUUCCAUGUGAACAGCAGUUGAACAUGGGUCAGUCGGUCCUAAGGGAUGGGUGAACGAUGUUCGGAAGUGCGGGGCGAUGGCCUCUGUCGCCCCCGGUCGAUCGAAAGGGAGUUGGGUUCAGAUCCCCAAACCUGGAGCGGCGGAGAUCAGUGCCGCGAGGCACCCAGUGAGGUGUCACAAACAAACCCGGAGAAGCUGGCGGGAGCCCCAGGGAGAGUUCUUUUUUCUUUGUGAAGGGCAGGGCGCCCUGGAAUGGGUUCGCCCCGAGAGGGCCCCUUGCCCUGGAAAGCGUCGCGGUUCCGGCGGCGUCCGGUGAGAUCUCGCUGGCCCUUGGAAAUCCGGGGGAGAAGGUGUAAAUCUUGUGCCAGGCCGUACCCAUAUCCGCAGCAGGUCUCCAAGGUGAACAGCAUGUUGGAUAAAGGGAGUUAAGGGAAGUCGGCAAGUCAGAUCUGUAACUUCGGGAUAAAGAUUGGCUCUAAGGGUUGGUUGGGU